AAUAAACCCUAGGUUUUCGUGUCCAACGUUUGACCGUUUGUCUUAUUUAAAAAAAUUAUAAAAAAAAAUUAAAAAGACAAUUCACACAUAAAGUAUUAAUCAUGUUUUAUCAUCUAACAACAAUGAAAAUACUAAUUAUAAAAAAAUUCCAUAUAAGACGGACAGUCAAACGUUGGAUACGGAAAUCUAGAGUUUGUCUUUUU
Molecule: non-coding RNA, 203 nt
Organism: Oryza barthii
Lineage: Eukaryota; Viridiplantae; Streptophyta; Magnoliopsida; Poales; Poaceae
Source: Rfam